UACGGGGGGGGGCAAGCGUUGUUCGGAAUUACUGGGCGUAAAGGGCGUGUAGGCGGCCAACUAAGUCCGACGUGAAAUCCCCAGGCUUAACCUGGGAACUGCGUCGGAUACUGGAUGGCUUGAAUCCGGGAGAGGGAUGCGGAAUUCCAGGUGUAGCGGUGAAAUGCGUAGAUAUCUGGAGGAACACCGGUGGCGAAGGCGGCAUCCUGGACCGGCAUUGACGCUAAAGCGCGAAAGCCAGGGGAGCAAACGGG
This 254-nucleotide ribosomal RNA is filed under the name uncultured bacterium. Its description in RNAcentral is "partial 16S ribosomal RNA". It matches the Rfam family "Bacterial small subunit ribosomal RNA", at positions 524 to 776 of the family's 1533-position model. The record is from RNAcentral.